UACAGAGGGGGCGAGCGUUGUUCGGAAUUACUGGGCGUAAAGGGCGCGUAGGCGGCCUUCUAAGUCGAACGUGAAAUCCCCGGGCUUAACCCGGGAACUGCGUCCGAUACUGGGAGGCUUGAAUCCGGGAGAGGGAUGUGGAAUUCCAGGUGUAGCGGUGAAAUGCGUAGAUAUCUGGAGGAACACCGGUGGCGAAGGCGGCAUCCUGGACCGGUAUUGACGCUGAGGCGCGAAAGCCAGGGGAGCAAACGGG
This 253-nucleotide ribosomal RNA is filed under the name uncultured bacterium. Its description in RNAcentral is "partial 16S ribosomal RNA". It matches the Rfam family "Bacterial small subunit ribosomal RNA", at positions 524 to 776 of the family's 1533-position model. The record is from RNAcentral.